CCGGCACGGGUGAGUAACACGUAUCCAACCUGCCGUCUACUCUUGGCCAGCCUUCUGAAGGAAGAUUAAUCCAGGAUGGCAUCAUGAGUUCACAUGUCCGCAUGAUUAAAGGUAUUUUCCGGUAGACGAUGGGGAUGCGUUCCAUUAGGCAGUUGGUGGGGUAACGGCCCACCAAACCUUCGAUGGAUAGGGGUUCUGAGAGGAAGGUCCCCCACAUUGGAACUGAGACACGGUCCAA
RNAcentral lists this ribosomal RNA (238 nucleotides) under uncultured bacterium. Its description in RNAcentral is "partial 16S ribosomal RNA". It matches the Rfam family "Bacterial small subunit ribosomal RNA", at positions 100 to 334 of the family's 1533-position model. The record is from RNAcentral.